CCCCAAGUGCAUUCACAUUAGUGAGUGCUUUUGUGAAGUGUAAAUAGCUUCACGAAUAAAAGCGGGGUAAGACCGGUGCCAGCCGCCGCGGUAACACCGGCCGCUUGAGUGGUGGUCACUAUUAUUGGGCCUAAAGCGUCCGUAGCCGGUUUGGUAAGUCCUUGGGCAAAUCCUGUCGCUUAACGGCAGGAAUUCUAGGGAUACUGCUAGACUUGAGGUCGAGAGAGGUCGGAGGUACUCCUGGGGUAGCGGUGAAAUGCUAUAAUCCUGGGGGGACCACCAGUGGCGAAAGCGUCCGACCAGAGCGAGCCUGACGGUAAGGGACGAAAGCCAGGGUAGCGAACGGGAUUAGAUACCCCGGUAGUCCUGGCCGUAAACGCUGUGGGCUAGGUGUUGCAUGCUCUACGAGGGCAUGCAGUGCCGAAGAGAAGUUGAUAAGCCUACCGCCUGGGAAGUACUAUCGCAAGAUAGAAACUUAAAGGAAUUGGCGGGGGAGCACUACAAGGGGUGAAGUCUGCGGUUCAAUUGGAUUCAACGCCGGAAAUCUCACUGGAAGCGACGGCAGGAUGAUGGCCAAGCUGAUGACUUUGCUUGACGAGCCGAGAGGAGGUGCAUGGCCGUCGUCAGCUCGUACCGUAA
RNAcentral lists this ribosomal RNA (639 nucleotides) under uncultured archaeon. RNAcentral describes it as "bacterial SSU rRNA". It matches the Rfam family "Archaeal small subunit ribosomal RNA", at positions 379 to 1019 of the family's 1478-position model. The record is from RNAcentral.